CGUGCUGUACGGGGUGCCGGUGAUGGGCUUCGCGCUGCUGUGGCUGGCGCUGGCGGCCGCGAUGGUGGUGCGGGCGGCGCGG
This 82-nucleotide transfer RNA is filed under the name Streptomyces badius. RNAcentral's name for it is "tRNA-His(gtg)". Lineage: Bacteria; Bacillati; Actinomycetota; Actinomycetes; Kitasatosporales; Streptomycetaceae. The record is from RNAcentral.